RNAcentral lists this ribosomal RNA (496 nucleotides) under uncultured bacterium. RNAcentral describes it as "partial 16S ribosomal RNA". It matches the Rfam family "Bacterial small subunit ribosomal RNA", at positions 28 to 506 of the family's 1533-position model. The record is from RNAcentral.
GAUGAACGCUGGCGGCGUGCCUAAUACAUGCAAGUCGAGCGAACAGACGAGGAGCUUGCUCCUCUGACGUUAGCGGCGGACGGGUGAGUAACACGUGGAUAACCUACCUAUAAGACUGGGAUAACUUCGGGAAACCGGAGCUAAUACCGGAUAAUAUAUUGAACCGCAUGGUUCAAUAGUGAAAGACGGUUUUGCUGUCACUUAUAGAUGGAUCCGCGCCGCAUUAGCUAGUUGGUAAGGUAACGGCUUACCAAGACAACGAUGCGUAGCCGACCUGAGAGGGUGAUCGGCCACACUGGAACUGAGACACGGUCCAGACUCCUACGGGAGGCAGCAGUAGGGAAUCUUCCGCAAUGGGCGAAAGCUUGACGGAGCAACGCCGCGUGAGUGAUGAAGGUCUUCGGAUCGUAAAACGCUGUUAUUAGGGAAGAACAAAUGUGUAAGUAACUAUGCACGUCUUGACGGUACCUAAUCAGAAAACCACGGCUAACUACGU